This 424-nucleotide ribosomal RNA is filed under the name uncultured bacterium. RNAcentral describes it as "partial 16S ribosomal RNA". It matches the Rfam family "Bacterial small subunit ribosomal RNA", at positions 354 to 795 of the family's 1533-position model. The record is from RNAcentral.
GUGGGGAAUCUUGCGCAAUGGGCGAAAGCCUGACGCAGCCAUGCCGCGUGAAUGAUGAAGGUCUUAGGAUUGUAAAAUUCUUUCACCGGGGACGAUAAUGACGGUACCCGGAGAAGAAGCUCCGGCUAACUUCGUGCCAGCAGCCGCGGUAAUACGAAGGGGGCUAGCGUUGCUCGGAAUUACUGGGCGUAAAGGGCGCGUAGGCGGACAGCUUAGUCAGAGGUGAAAGCCCAGGGCUCAACCUUGGAAUUGGCUUUGAUACUGGCUGUCUUGAGUUUUGGAGAGGUGAGUGGAACUCCGAGUGUAGAGGUGAAAGUCGUAGAUAUUCGGAAGAACACCAGUGGCGAAGGCGACUCACUGGCCCAAUACUGACGCUGAGGCGCGAAAGCGUGGGGAGCAAACAGGAUUAGAUACCCGGGUAGUC